This 75-nucleotide transfer RNA is filed under the name Candidatus Peregrinibacteria bacterium. RNAcentral's name for it is "tRNA-Cys". It matches the Rfam family "tRNA". Rfam says of the family: Transfer RNA (tRNA) molecules are approximately 80 nucleotides in length. Their secondary structure includes four short double-helical elements and three loops (D, anti-codon, and T loops). Lineage: Bacteria; Candidatus Peregrinibacteriota. The record is from RNAcentral.
GGCAAGGUGGCGGAACGGUCACGCAGCGGUUUGCAAAACCGUACCAAAUGGGUUCAACUCCCAUCCUUGCCUCCA